This 1002-nucleotide long non-coding RNA is filed under the name Nicotiana benthamiana. RNAcentral's name for it is "long non-coding RNA (NBEN_LNC030417)". The record is from RNAcentral. Lineage: Eukaryota; Viridiplantae; Streptophyta; Magnoliopsida; Solanales; Solanaceae.
UUGAGAGAAACGAAGAGUCAGUUUUUGGGAAAAGGAAAAAGUAAAGUCUGAUGUUCUCGAUAGUUCCCCUAUAUAGAGUUACAGAGUAUAUACAAAUAUACUUACCUGGGUCGGACCGGGUCAGGUGAGUAUAUUAAAUUGGGCUCAGAAAAUGACUGGGCUCAUAUUCAACAUCACAGCCCACAUCAGCACCACAGACCAAUACAGCCAUCAGCCCAAUACAUCAUUGCCCUAUACUCCUAUACUAUAUACACUUUAUAUACAUCACAUAUACAAAAUAAAUUGUACAACUACUCAAAUGUCUAAGUAAUGUCAACACCCCCCCUCAAGUUGGAGGGGGACACCACCUUCAACUUGGACAGCAAAGGAUGAAGAGCAGUCCCAGUAAUGGGUGGGUUUGAUGCCACUGAAAAGUCUUCUACUAUUGUUUCUUCAAUGAGAGUGAUAUUUUAAAACAGUUAUAGAAAUAAUAGAAGAGGUUUUACAAAAUCAUACUUUGAACCAAUACUCACUGUGAAGUUAAUCACUUAUCCUCAGAACAAAAAAUUAUCAAAGUUGUUCACAAUCUCCAUAGGUAAGAACACAUAAAGGCAUCAAUCAGAUAUAGAAAAGGCAUAAAACCUAGAAGGAAGUGAAUUGAAAAUCCAAACAAAGAAAAAUAAACUUUAUAUGAUAUUACCUGCAGAUUCAAAUAGUCGAAGUUUAAUCGCACCAUGCUUUGGUCAUUUGAAGUAACUGUUCCGAAUCUUGAAAACAUUAGAGAGAGAACUGGCAAAUAGAAAACAACAGGAGACUCUCCUCAAAAAUAAAUGAACGGAGGAGAAAUUUCUUACACAGACCUUCUAACUCGUUAAAUGUGGUUUUAUAUGAUCAAUUAUCUGCAUACAGUCACCUAGAUUUCUGUAAAAUCCACUCUGCCCUCGAGAAAUGAUUUCUCCACCUACCAGAGAAUACAUUUGUCAAUUGUAUCAUCACUCAGUGCAAGCUCAGUUUUCAGCGGGU